This 588-nucleotide ribosomal RNA is filed under the name uncultured bacterium. Its description in RNAcentral is "bacterial SSU rRNA". The stretch from base 1 to 519 matches the Rfam family "Bacterial small subunit ribosomal RNA", at positions 338 to 873 of the family's 1533-position model. The record is from RNAcentral.
CCUACGGGAGGCAGCAGUAAGGAAUCUUCCACAAUGGACGAAAGUCUGAUGGAGCAACGCCGCGUGCAGGAUGAAGGCUUUCGGGUCGUAAACUGCUUUUAUAUGGGAAGAUUAUGACGGUACCAUAUGAAUAAGGACCGGCUAACUACGUGCCAGCAGCCGCGGUAAUACGUAGGGUCCAAGCGAUAUCCGGAAUUACUGGGCGUAAAGCGUGUGUAGGUGGAUUAAUAAGUGUGAUGCGAAAUCCGGCGGCUCAACCGUUUGGACUGUGUCGCAUACUGUUAGUCUAGAGGACGGCAGAGGUAAGUGGAAUUACGGGUGUAGCAGUGAAAUGCGUAGAUAUCCGUAGGAACACCAAUGGCGAAGGCAGCUUACUGGGCCACACCUGACACUGAGACACGAAAGCGUGGGGAGCGAACAGGAUUAGAUACCCUGUAGUCCACGCCGUAAACGAUGCAUACUAUUAGUAUGGGGUAUCGACCCCCUGUGCUGAGAAGCUAACGCGAUAAGUAUGCCGCCGNGGAGUAGAGNGCAGACUAACUACAAGAAGUAGAGCGNGAGAGNGCGACGACGACGACGAGGGAGAGG